Long non-coding RNA from Ruditapes philippinarum (Manila clam), 1404 nucleotides. RefSeq lists it as uncharacterized. Lineage: Eukaryota; Metazoa; Mollusca; Bivalvia; Venerida; Veneridae. The record is from RefSeq and is a predicted model, not a curated record. The transcript has 3 exons.
UCACGACGAGGUGGAUAUAUUUAAUCUUGUCCUUGAAAUGAGAAAAAACAAUCGAUUGAACAUGGUGCAGACAGAGGACCAGUACAUUUACAUUCACGAAUGUAUUAAGUCGUUCAUCACAACUCAACAAGAGGAAGAAGAACAAGAAGACGAUGAUGAAGCUAUUUACGUGAAUACAGGAUUUGGAGCCGAGGAAGAAAAUUUAUACGCCAAUACUUAAAAAUUGACAAAGAUUGAUUGGUGAUAGCUAAUUGACUAAGUGUAUAACAGUUAUUUGUAAUGGACAAAAACGUUUUUGCAGAACAAAUACAUGUAUUUAUAUUGAUUGACAGAAAAACAUAUGUAAUCUUAUAUAGUCACAAUCACAUAUUUCUAGGCAUGUAAUGUAUUUUUAUUUCAUUUAUUUAACGUAUGUAUCUAAACAAAUGUAAAUAGUAGCAUGUAAUCAUUCAUUUUGUAAAAGCACACUGUGUAUUGUAUCAGCCUUGUAAAGUCAUCAUCAUAUUAACUUAUUUGAUAGAAACUUUGAAUUAUAUCUUAACGCGAUAGUUCUAGAUUGACGAUGCAUAAAUAUUUACGUUGAUAUGGAAAAAUAAUCCCAUGGUGUUCUUGCGUAACGGAAAAAUCACGAGACUUAGGUUUAAAUUGUGUCCAGUCAAGGUCUUCACAGGGUCAAAUGACCGGGUUAGACUGUAUUAUACCACAGUUUUGUAAUGCUGCACGUUUAUAAUGUUGAUUUUUCACUUGGUAAUCGUGGCUUAGUAUUCAUAUUUUUGUAAACAAGCAAAUACUUUCAUUUUUAUUUGUACGCUUUUUUUCUACGAGAAAUUUAAUCAUAUAUUAACAUGAAUCUAUCUAAGCAUCUUCAUUAUCAAAAGAAUGUGUUUUAAAUGUUUAAUGUAUUUCAUGUUCAAUUUUUCCCGCUAAUGACAUUGUUUUGUGUAUAUAUUGUAUUUCCGGAUGUUCAACAACUGGUGAUACUUUUUUGUGAAGUUAUAUCAAUUUUUAUCGAAAAUUCAUUACUGGUAACAUUUAUUUGUGAAAUAAUUUCUGUGUAUCUGAAAAAUAAUUAGCUUCUGAAUAUUUUGUGUUGAAAAUUAAAAGCGUUGCAGUCAAUUCAUCACAAAUUAAUGUAUAAAUGUAUAAUUCUCAAAGGUCAAAUGAUUAAGAAAUAUUGAUCAAUAUAUUUUGAAAAGUGUUUGAUAAGAUUUUUAUUACAAUUAGAAUAAAUAGACACAUACAUUUUAUUUGCAUAAACAUAUUUGUACAGGCAGUAGGUAUAUAAAUGUAUCAUAUGGAUGACAAAAUAUAAAUUUUUCUAACAAAUUGUGAUAGGUAGGUUUUGCAGUGAUUUCUAAUAAAGAUCGUUUGUUUAGCUAAUGAUUGAGUGAGUUUAUAAGAGAG